AAGGUUAAGGCUACUUAAGUUUUUAAUCAUAAAAAUAACUCUUAAACUUAAGAGCUAUUCAAAUAUAGGUACAGCCUAUUUGAAACAGGAAACAACCUAAAGAACAGGGUAAUAUUCUACGGCACGUGUCCAAGUGGGCCUAAAAGCAGCCAACUUUCAAAAAGCGUUAAAGCUUAUACUCGUGCCCCCCCCCAAUCCCAAAACUAACAGACAACCCUUAUAAAGUACUAAAUAAUUCUAUAAAUUUAUAGAAGUUAUAAUGCUAAAACUAGUAACAUGAAGAAGUCCUUCUCCUAAGUGCACACGUAAGCCAAAAAGAACAACUCAUUGGCAUCUAACGCUAUUGAAUACAAAGCAACAACUCUUCAAGAAAACCUUGCUGGCACCAACGUUAACCUUACACAAGCGCACUCCAGGAAAGAUUAAAAGAGGUAGAAGGAACUCGGCAAACUUUAACCCCGCCUGUUUACCAAAAACAUCGCCUCCUGUAACAAUGGGGUCAGCUUCCAGUGCCAGUUAACGCCGGGUCCCUACCGGCAAGNNNNNNNGCGG
Molecule: ribosomal RNA, 552 nt
Filed under: Hypopachus variolosus (sheep frog)
Lineage: Eukaryota; Metazoa; Chordata; Amphibia; Anura; Microhylidae
Description: 16S ribosomal RNA
Source: RNAcentral